GACGAACGCUGGCGGCGUGCCUAAUACAUGCAAGUAGAACGCUGAAGGAAGGAGCUUGCUCUUUCCGGAUGAGUUGCGAACGGGUGAGUAACGCGUAGGUAACCUGCCUGGUAGCGGGGGAUAACUAUUGGAAACGAUAGCUAAUACCGCAUAAGAGUAGAUGUCACAUGACAUUUGCUUAAAAGGUGCAAUUGCAUCACUACCAGAUGGACCUGCGUUGUAUUAGCUAGUUGGUGGGGUAACGGCUCACCAAGGCGACGAUACAUAGCCGACCUGAGAGGGUGAUCGGCCACACUGGGACUGAGACACGGCCCAGACUCCUACGGGAGGCAGCAGUAGGGAAUCUUCGGCAAUGGACGGAAGUCUGACCGAGCAACGCCGCGUGAGUGAAGAAGGUUUUCGGAUCGUAAAGCUCUGUUGUAAGAGAAGAACGAGUGUGAGAGUGGAAAGUUCACACUGUGACG
RNAcentral lists this ribosomal RNA (464 nucleotides) under Streptococcus mitis. Its description in RNAcentral is "bacterial SSU rRNA". It matches the Rfam family "Bacterial small subunit ribosomal RNA", at positions 28 to 474 of the family's 1533-position model. Lineage: Bacteria; Bacillati; Bacillota; Bacilli; Lactobacillales; Streptococcaceae. The record is from RNAcentral.